This 320-nucleotide ribosomal RNA is filed under the name uncultured eukaryote. RNAcentral describes it as "partial 18S ribosomal RNA". It matches the Rfam family "Eukaryotic small subunit ribosomal RNA", at positions 1470 to 1796 of the family's 1831-position model. The record is from RNAcentral.
UCCCUAGAUGUUCUGGGCCGCACGCGCGCUACACUGAACAGUUCAACAAGUCUUAACCUUGGCCGAUAGGUCUGGGUAAUCUUUGAACGCUGUUCGUGAUUGGGAUAGACCUUUGCAAUUAUGGGUCUUCAACGAGGAAUUCCUAGUAAACGCAAGUCAUCAGCUUGCAUUGAUUACGUCCCUGCCCUUUGUACACACCGCCCGUCGCACCUACCGAUUGAAUGGUCCGGUGAAAUCUCGGGACGGCGGCUUGGUCGCUUGCGUCCGACUGCUGAAACUUGAUUAAACCAUAUCAUUCAGAGGAAGGUGAAGUCGUAACA